RNAcentral lists this ribosomal RNA (253 nucleotides) under uncultured bacterium. Its description in RNAcentral is "partial 16S ribosomal RNA". It matches the Rfam family "Bacterial small subunit ribosomal RNA", at positions 524 to 776 of the family's 1533-position model. The record is from RNAcentral.
UACAGAGGGUGCGAGCGUUAAUCGGAAUCACUGGGCGUAAAGCGUGCGUAGGCGGCUUAGCAAGUCGGGCGUGAAAUCCCCGGGCUCAACCUGGGAAUGGCACUCGAUACUACUAAGCUAGAGUGUGGUAGAGGGAAGUGGAAUUCCCGGUGUAGCGGUGAAAUGCGUAGAUAUCGGGAGGAACAUCAGUGGCGAAGGCGACUUCCUGGACCAACACUGACGCUGAGGCACGAAAGCGUGGGGAGCAAACAGG